UAAGAAAGAAGAGUGAGGACCAUAUAAAAAGAAAGAAAGAGAAAUUCCGAGAGAGUUUUCUUACCAUUGUGGUGCAUCAAGGAUAAAUGGCAAGAGGAGUUAAGUAUUGUAUUGCUCCAAAAACCAUCAUGAACCUUAUUAUGCUCAUUUCGGUUCUCUGCUUAUGCACCAAAUCAGUCGAAGUUGAAGCACAAGCUUCGCGUCUGCCUGCUGAAGAAGGUUUGGACUAUUUGUGAGCACGCAUAUUAAUCUUGAGGACCAUGAAUGACAAAAAAAAAAAUCAAACAAGAAGGACUCAAUCUGGUAGUUUUGUGAAGCUUAAGGACGCUUUGCAAUAUAAAGCCUUGAAGGGGUCCACGUUGUCAAAUUUCACGUACCAAAAAAAGAUUCGAAAAACUUUUCAUUGUGCCGACAAAAAAAAUCCUAAAAAGGGAAAUGAAAAACUUGUCGUAGUCAAAGAAAGCAAAAACACCUCCCUCGACAUCAAUAAUGUAAUCGAAUCGGCCAACUAGGUUCGAAGUCAGACAUAACAACAAACACACACCCGUCAAAAGUCAUUGGCUCAUAAGGCUAAGAGGGACCCUUCAUUAACAACAGAGAUUGAGACUGAGACUGAGAUUGAGCCAAGAAAGAAUAAGGAUAAUACAGAUAUCAGGGAUGGAUAUGGCAAGAUUUCAUUUUGAUGUUUCAAAAGCCACCAUGGACCUUGUCAUUUUGGUAGCCAUGUUGGUCCUCUGCUUCUGCAUAUCCACAGUCAAAGUUGAAGCACAAUCUCUUCUUCUUCUUCUUCUGAAUGUUUUUUCAAGUUGGUAUUGCUGAUACUCAAAAUCUAUGCACUAAAGCCUCAGUUUUUGUUUUUGUUUUGAAAAAAAUGAAGCCUGGGGUAUUUUUUUGAGUUGUGUUGAACAGCAGAGAACAGAGUGCUCAAUGUAAAACUUGGUCUUCUUGAUUGGGAAUUAGAACAUUUUAGGCUUUCUAGUGCUACUAUGUUAGAGCACUC
Prunus avium (sweet cherry) is the source of this 1000-nucleotide non-coding RNA. NCBI's taxonomy places the organism in Eukaryota, Viridiplantae, Streptophyta, Magnoliopsida, Rosales, Rosaceae. The record is from RefSeq and is a predicted model, not a curated record.